UACGUAGGGUGCAAGCGUUGUCCGGAAUUAUUGGGCGUAAAGAGCUCGUAGGCGGUUCGUCGCGUCGGCUGUGAAAACCUGAGGCUCAACCUCAGGCCUGCAGUCGAUACGGGCGGACUUGAGUACUGCAGGGGAGACUGGAAUUCCUGGUGUAGCGGUGGAAUGCGCAGAUAUCAGGAGGAACACCGGUGGCGAAGGCGGGUCUCUGGGCAGUAACUGACGCUGGAGGAGCGAAAGCCGUGGGGAGCGAACAGG
RNAcentral lists this ribosomal RNA (255 nucleotides) under uncultured bacterium. Its description in RNAcentral is "partial 16S ribosomal RNA". It matches the Rfam family "Bacterial small subunit ribosomal RNA", at positions 524 to 776 of the family's 1533-position model. The record is from RNAcentral.